CUUUGCAUGUUUUAUGGGACUUUCCUUAUGAGGUAGGCUCUCCAAUUUUUUGUGAGAUGUAAAUUCAAGUAUUGUGUUUGAAAUUUUGUGAGUAAAAACCAUGAAAGAAGGAUUUAAAUAUUUUUUUGAAUUUUUGUUGUAGAGGUGGGUGAUUUGGCUUUUGACCAGCUGAUUUUGCACGUGCUUGACUUCGAUGUAAACAAACUCUCACGCCUUGCUGGAUGGUUCCUUCAGGAAUUGAUGAACCGAGUGCAGCACACUUGAGGGCAGUCGAUUUUCCGGGUCCAUGGUUCAUCCGGUGUAUAGAGGAGAGAAUCUGAGGCUCAAAGUUCCGAGAACAGACAUGAUAUAUGUUGCCUGGGUUGCUGGCUGAAAAGGAUUUCUGUCUCGAGACCAGUACAGAGGAUUAUUGUACCGCCCAUCACCUUCCACAGGUAUUGGUGUCUCCCGUGGGAACCCACAGUUCUC
Molecule: long non-coding RNA, 468 nt
Organism: Ostrea edulis (European flat oyster)
Lineage: Eukaryota; Metazoa; Mollusca; Bivalvia; Ostreida; Ostreidae
Exons: 3
Source: RefSeq, a predicted model, not a curated record